Long non-coding RNA from Patella vulgata (common limpet), 355 nucleotides. RefSeq lists it as uncharacterized. NCBI's taxonomy places the organism in Eukaryota, Metazoa, Mollusca, Gastropoda, Patellidae. The transcript has 2 exons. The record is from RefSeq and is a predicted model, not a curated record.
AGAGACCCUGAUGAAUACUGUUAGCUACACAGCGAACACCAAGGACUUUAAUAUCAGCAUGAGUAUGAGUAUAGACAAUAAUGUAUUUAUACGAUCAUGUAAUGUUGGCAAGGAAUCAAGAUUUCUAGAACCAGGUUAUAAAGAUACGAAUAGAACAAUGGUCAUCAUUAAAUCCUUCUACAAGACCAACGUUUUCAACGAAUACGAACAGGAGGCCUUUGGAUAUGCCACACCAAGAAUUACUGAUCCAGCCAUAUUCAACUUGGCAAACUUCUGUGCAUAGAAACUGGGCUAUUUAUUUUAAUUUUUGCCAGACAGAUGUUAUUACAAUACUAAAUAAAUUUCCCAAACAAUA